UGAUGCCUUCCCAUAGCACCGUCCUGUCCUACUUCAACAGUUUGCCGAAAACUUCAUCGUUCGUUGAGAGAGACGAUGGUCAGAUCUACUCACCAAUGUUCUCUGCUGUUCGUUUACAUGGAAUCCUUGAUACUGGGAACAUCCAGGACAUGCAGCUGAUGAAUAUCCUGCCCAGAGAGACCC
Molecule: long non-coding RNA, 183 nt
Organism: Dreissena polymorpha
Lineage: Eukaryota; Metazoa; Mollusca; Bivalvia; Myida; Dreissenidae
Exons: 3
Source: RefSeq, a predicted model, not a curated record